This is a long non-coding RNA of Tupaia belangeri chinensis (Chinese tree shrew), 464 nucleotides long. RefSeq lists it as uncharacterized. Lineage: Eukaryota; Metazoa; Chordata; Mammalia; Scandentia; Tupaiidae. The transcript has 3 exons. The record is from RefSeq and is a predicted model, not a curated record.
GCUGAGGCAGGAAGGAAGCGUGGAUAGCAGAGGGCUCCCUAAGUCAUGUUGCAGCAUUUUAUCUUGAACAAGAGACAAUUUGGGAACAUCCCAAGAAAGGAGCUCUGAGAUCCAGGGUAUGGAAGAUUUCCUCAUCUAUGAGAGACAUGACAGCGUUGGUCUCCCUGGAUUACUCAGAUGAUUCCACAGAGGCAGAGGACACGCUCCAUCCAGGAGCUGCAGGAAAAUGUUUCUACCAGAAGAACCCAGUCCUAGCAUGUAGGGCCUUGAGGAAGAUUCUCUUCCUCUGAGCCUGCAACUCAGCCCCCUCACUCGGGAUUCCAGGGUCACUGAUGUCUUCAACACCAUGGGGGCCUGCAGCGCCACAGGGACACAGUCUUGCUGGGCACUCACUCAGGGCCGGGUUUACCAGGGCUCCCUUUCUGGCUGCUCAGAGCCAAUUCACUGCUCUACUAAAUCAACCU